CACGUUGCAUGUUGGGAGGUCUGAGUCCUCAUUCUAUUCAUCCAUCAUAGGUUACAGCCAAGGAAUUCCCUGGUAGUCCAGGGUUAGGACUCUGUGUUUCCACUGCAGGAGGCAUGGGUUUGAUCCCUGGUCUGGAAACUAAGAUCUCGAAUGCCAUGUACAAUGGCCAAGAAAAAAAAAAAGAUUAUCGCCAGACACUGUGCCAAGCCUGGCAGUAAAAUGAUGACUAAGAGUAUUUUGUGCUUUCUGCUCACAGCCCAGUGGAGCAGGUGGGCAGGGAAGAGAGAAGACCUCCCUGUGGGUACCUCCAGGGGACACGUGAAGUCUAUGCCUCGUUGGGACUCCAUGCUCCUCUCUUCUUUCUGGUUUUGCCCCUGGCCUUUGUGCCUUGCACAGAGUAGUGUUCUUGAAAGAGUUGUUGGGUAUCACGUCUGGCACACCGCGACCAUCUGUCCUUCACUGUGAUGUUAAUUUUGAUCAUCUGGUGAAAGUCUUCUCUUAUUUCUCCAUUGUGUAGUGACUACUACUAUUUUCCCUUGGAAUUACUGAGCAAGUUGUGUGGAGACAUUCAAAUAUCCAGCUCCUCAUCAAAAUUUCUCCCUCAAUGUAGCGUUAAUAUGAUUCUUACCCAAACCAGUCGUUAUAAUGAUGGCUGCAGAAUGAUAAUUCAACACCAGCACUAUGUCCCCAUUUUUCAGUUGGCAACCAGCAUUCUACUGUAAGGAAGAGCUCCCUUUUUUGUCAUUUGUUAAUAAUGGAUACGGAUUCCUCAGUUUCUAUUUUUUCCUCUAAUGGUUUGUGAUUCAUUACUGUACUCAAUUAUUUUAGUGCUCAGGUUGUCCCUGACUUGUCCAGUGGAAACUGCUUUGAGUAGGCUGCCUCCAUCAUUUUUUAGGGUGCUUUCCUACUUUCUGGCAUGAUAAGAUAUUCCAGACUCAUCAUGUAUCCAUCCAUCCACCCGACUCCAGACCUGGAAUUGGUUAUUUUACCAAGGAGCCCUGCUCCUUUUUUUUGUUUGUAUUAUAGAAUGAUAUCUGAGUGCUAGGUAAGCUCACUGAUACUGGGAUGUUUUUAUUGCUUGGGUCUACAAGAGUCAGAACCAGGAAAUAUAUGCGUGUAUGGUAUAUAUACAUAUAAUAUACAUGCAAACAUACUUACCUAUAUGACUAUGCACAUGUACAAGUGUCAUGCAUAUAUAUAUAUGGUCAAUUCUCCUUAUUUUCCAUAGUUAUGUUCUAUAAAGUUGCCACAAACACUGAAUUAGAAAAUAUUAAACUAUUGUUAAGAGGGCAAAUAUAGGGUUGUGCUAAGUUAUACUUAGUCACUCAGUUGUGUCCAACUCUUUUCGACCCCACGGACUGUAGCCCGUCAGGCUCCUCCAUCCAUGGGGAUUCUCCAGGCAAGAUUACUGGAGUGGCUUGCCAUGCCCUCCUCCAAGGGAUCUUCCCAACCCAGGGAUCGAACCCAGGCAAAUUCUUUACUGUCUGAGCUACCAGUGACUACGGCUUGUUGAAAUUGCACCAAGAGCCUGACCACAUGCUUCAGAUGACAGUAUCCACAACAGGUGAACUCUAACUGUGCAAAGGACAAAAUCGGCUGCUGCUUGUUCAGUCUGCAGUGACUCUGCGAACAACAAACAUGCCCUGUUUCAUGAUCGAGCCCCUUUUAGAAGCAGCCUGGUAUGUAUCUGUUUUCCAGGCCACAUGCACUGACGCUGCGUAGUUGUGUUCCUGCAAGCCUCUGGUCACAUUUUUGUCAACUGAUCAAUACAUGACUUUGUUUUAUAUGUGUUUAUUUAAAGACACCUUAUUUAGUAUAUAUUGUUGACUCAUUGACAUUAAAUUCAUGGCCAAUAGCAUUAUAUUUCCAU
Molecule: long non-coding RNA, 1870 nt
Organism: Bos taurus (domestic cattle)
Lineage: Eukaryota; Metazoa; Chordata; Mammalia; Artiodactyla; Bovidae
Source: Ensembl